AUGUGUGUUCGCGCGCAUCACUUGGCACGAAAUCCUCUCGUGGUGCUCCCCGACAACCACUCUACCGGACGGCAACCUUGGCUCUCUAGAGCCACUCUCCUCCUCCCGGCUGCGCGGAGUCGAGGCCUCGCCACCAUCGCCUCCCUCACUGCAUGGUCCCUUUGGCGGCACCGGAACACGAUCAUCUUCGACAAGAUUACCCCCUCCUCCUCCUCCCUGAUCGCUGCGAUCAAAGAUGAAGCUCGCUCCAGGGCUACCGCGGGAGCUCGAGGACUCGCUGCGAGUAAUUUUGUAACCUGA
This 300-nucleotide ribosomal RNA is filed under the name Triticum aestivum (bread wheat). RNAcentral's name for it is "partial small subunit ribosomal RNA". Lineage: Eukaryota; Viridiplantae; Streptophyta; Magnoliopsida; Poales; Poaceae. The record is from RNAcentral.